CGACGAAGAAGAAAAUAAUGGAGCGCUCUCUCUUGAUUUCAACAUCGUUUUUGUUUUGUUUUUUAUUUCUAUUUCAUCUAUUCAUAAAUAACAGAUAUCAGUGGUUUUUAUUAUAAUUUUGUCGUGUCAUGUACACGAAGGGGAGCGAAAAACGGAGGCUGGGCAGAUGCUCCACGAAGAAACACGAAGAAACAGGUAACAGGUAAACCUCAGUGGCUGCUGCUCAAUGUUCGACAGGGAGCUGUGACACUGACUGUGUAUAUUUUAGUGUUUCUCGGUGGAAGAAGUUCCGGUUAGAAAGGGAAGGAAAGGUUUUUAAUAUGUAUAUGUAUAUAUAUGUAAGGCGCUAACUUGAGCUGGGGGGCAGGUAGGGCACUAACAGGAAAAAGGUUGGUACAAAGACAAACUUUCGUUUCUUAUUCUCAUUUAAAAUGUCUAACUUUUAAUAAAUAUUUCUCUGAAUCUUACACCCAAAGUUUGAAUCUGAUGUAAAAUGUAUAGAAGUCCAUUACUGUAUAUAGUAACUAUUAAGUUUAAUAUAUACCCUAGUAAGCAAUAGUACUUUUUCCUUUGGCAACCAUCUGUGCAGUCUGCAGUUCUGUUGAAGAAAGAUGUUGAAUCUAUUUAAUUAUUGUGGAAAAAUAAAUGAUUUCUGUGCAUUUUUUAUUUAUUUAUUCAUUUUUUGCAUGUACAUUAAAUUAAAGUUGACUAUGUCGAUUAAGCAUCACGAGGCAGGGGGGGGGUGUCCCUAUUUUUUUUUCUGGAAGUUGGCAACCCUAUUAGUUAGGUUGUUUAAUAUUUCUGCUAAGCUCUCUUUAAAAUUUAGAAUAGGGAGGAUGGUGUUGGUUUAAGUUUGCAGUGUAUUUUUUGCAUAUAUAUAUAUAUAUAUAUGUGUGUGUGUGUGUGUGUGUGUGUGUGUGUGUGUGUAUCAGAGGACUUCAUCUACGGGGGCCAAAGACUGCUACCGCAGUUCAAGGGAAGAUCAACAGUGGACAACAACAGUUACUUCAAGGCAUUUAAUAAUGUAAGGUAACCCCUUACAAAAUUAGAGAUGGGAAACAGUGGGAAAGAAGAAUUCCCUUUUUACAGGAAGAAUCCUCCAGCAGAAGCUCGGGGAGGGAUACAUAACAUUACAACAUCAGGACAAAAUUCAGUUUCAAAUGAGGUAAAUUAAUAGUUGUUGGUUUAAUGUACAGUUUUUAUGAAAAUUUAUUUUCCCCUUCUUUCACGAGCUGCUGCCAGCAGUUACAGAUUUCUUUAGAUGGUCAGUUUUAUUAAUGCAUGUACUGCACAUACACGACCUCUGAGUAGUUUUAUAGCCAUUUAGCAGCAGAGCUGUAAAUAACGAUGUAAUUUUGCUACUUGCUGUUACUUAGUAUUGAUAUUUCCUCACAGCAGAAGCUUUCCACUUUUGUUGUGUUAUAGCACAUUUCACACACCUACUACUCUCUAUCAAAAUAUAGUCAAAGUGCUAAAACCACAGUUAUGUACCAGCAGAUAAUGAUCAUUUUACCAAACACAGACAUUUUGCUGUUACUUUUAUUGCUGUGCAUAUUAACGAGCUUAGCUCUCAUAUUCUGGAUCGUACUAGAUAAUGUGCAAAUCGAUCUGAGAAGUUUGUGUUUUCAAUUGAUAAGAAGAGUUUAUCUUACUACUUCUGCUGCAUAACAGGAAAGAAAGACGGGGAACAUAAGUUAGCACUGGAUAUUAGCCAAAGAAAAACAUCAUCUUUAAUAUCAGUGUAGCAGCAUCAAGCUGUUUGUGUGUUUGCACAGAACAGUGAAGGUUCGCCUGAGGAGUGAGUGCAAAUCAGUUUGUCAUUUGUGAAUUUUGUUUACAGUUUCUUCAGCUUUUCAUUUUCUAAAACUGAAUUUCUCUCUCUGUGCGAGCUCCUGCGUUCUGCUCUCGUCAUUAGUUGUGAAAUGCUCGAGUGUUGCAACUUCAUCAAAGGGAGUAAUGCAGAAGUCACAUAUCACUUAGUGUCACGCCUAUUGGAACAAUAUGUGUACGGUAAAAACCCUACAAUAAUAGAGAGUGACUACAUGCACUCUGAGAUGCUAAUCUUUCACAACCCCAACAGGAGGAUUCGAGAGAAGUCUGAUCAAAGCUGGUGAGGCUAAACGACACGGGCUAAUCAACAGGACAGAAAACUGAAUUUACACUAAUCCAGUUCCUAGAGCAGGUCCCAUGUAUUUUCAAAAAACAAAUGUGGCACAAAAGUGCCAAAAAGCACAAAAUAUCCAAGGACCAAAUUGGAGUCACUGGGCGGGGCUACCACAGGAAAUUCACCACUGAUUGGCAGAUGCAGUUACUAUGUAACAAUUGGCUCUCAGACCUGUCAAAAUGUGGGCUAGUUCUGAAGACACACUGGCACCGUGUUGUUGGAAAUGAGAUAUAUAUGAGUGACUGUAGUCGGUCAGAAACAAAUAUUUUCUGUCUUCAGGUUGUUUGUAACAGAAAUGCGCUCUCUCACUUUGAGAUAUUUAUGGGGAUAAAGUUGCAUUAAAGCCCAGUCCAGACUGCUUGAUGGCCCCGACAGAGGUUUAUAAUAAUAAUAAUGAUAAUGAACUUUAUUUAUAAAGCACACUUAAAACCAAGGGUAUGCCAAGGUGCUUAACAAGUAACAUAGAGAAUAAAAGGAACAUAAUAGAAAUGGGACCAAAGCAAGUACUAGGUUUGCAAGCAAAUAGCUGUCACUGAUACAUAGGAAAGCAGCAGAUACAGAACAAACAAGGAAUUAAAUGAGCAUAAAAGUGCAUCAUAUAAAAUCAUAAAAGAAAUGUUAACUAGAGGGAAAGGCAAGAUUGAAUAAGUGGGUUUUUAGUCGUGAUUUAAACAGUGCAAUAGAAUCAAAGGCGUGGAUAUCAAGAGGACGGGUAUUCCACCGUACCGGGGCAGCCAGUGCAAACGCACGGUCACCCCGAGAUUUCAGCCGAGAUCUAGGUUGCGGCAGAAGUAGUUGAGUGGCAGAUCUAAGUGUUCUAGCAGGAGAAUGCGGCCUGAGAGGUUCACUAAGAUAACUCAGCGCUAAUCUAUUAAUAGUUUUGAAUGUAAGGAGUAAUAUUUUAAAUUGAGUACGGUACUUUAUGGGUAGCCAGUGCAAGCCAGCUAGAAUACAGCAAAAUUUCCUGGUACCAGUCAAAAGGCGGGCUGCUGCAUUUUGGACUGUUUGCAGUCUAAGAAAAAGAGAAGAGGGACGACCGUAGUGCAAGGAGUUACAAUAAUCCAACCUGGAGGUCACAAAAGUGUGAAUAAGCUUCUCCAGGUCCUCAUGCAGAACAUAAUGCCUAGCCUUAGAGAUAAGGUGCAGUUGGUGGAAGCUAGAUCUCACUACAGCAGACAUUUGCUUAUCGAGUUUGAGCGAGCUAUCCACCAGUACACCCAAGUUACUGACAUAGUCACAGGAAGAGCUAGCAAAGGAACCCAGGGCAGCACAGAGUUCGACACAAGGGAUUUUACUGUUGAACACCACAGUCUCAGUCUUCUUAUCGUUUGAAACGAGGGAAUUACUCAGGAACCAUUCUUUGACCUCCCGCAUGCAUUCUUGAAAGUAGUGCAGGGACACAGCAAGGUCGUCAGUAAGUUCAAAAUAGAUCUGUAUGUCGUCGGCGUAACAGUGGAAGGCGAUAUUGUAUUUUUCAAAGAUUGCACCUAGAGGGAGCAAAUACAACGAAAAGAGAAUAGGGCCUAAAACUGAUCCUUGAGGUACACCGCAGCAGACUGGUGCAGAGGAAGUGGAGAAGGUGCCUAAGUUAACUGAUAAGGAUCUAUCAGCAAGGUAUGAUUUAAACCAGUCGAGGGCAGUGCCUCUAAUACCCACAGUGUGCUCAAGUCUUAGUAAUAAAAUGUUAUGGUCCAGCUCAUCAAAAGCCAAAGAGAGGUCCAAUAAAACUAGGAUCAUAGAGCGUCCAGUAUCAGUAAUUACAAGAAUAUCAUUAAGAACUCUAACCAACGCUGUUUCAGUGCUAUGCAAUGGCUUAAAAGCAGAUUGAAAUUUCUCAGCAAUAUUGUUCGUGUCCAAGUACGCCUGGAGCUGGGAGAGAACUAGUCUCUCCAGGAUUUUUGGCAAGAACGAAAGCUUAGAGAUCGGUCUGUAGUUUAAAAGGUCAUAACAGUCAGAGUUUCUUUUUCUAAGAAUCGGGUGGACUACAGCAUGUUUAAAGGCCAAAGGAACACAGCCUGAGAGCAAGGAAAGGUUCAUAAGAAAUAGGAUACUAGGUCCAAUUACAUCACAAUAGUCCUUAGCUAUGUGAGAUGGAAGAAUGUCAAGCACAGUAUUGGUGUUAUUCAUUUGAUUAACUAGCCGCUUAAGAGACAAAAGUGAUGUCAAUAUAGCUUCAGAAACUCUUGUAUAAAUUAAUGUACGAACCACACGUUAUCUCAGUAGCAGAUAAGGUGAGCAGCAGCCAUCUUGGUUAUUUACAAAAGAUCCACAGCAUCCUCAGUGUAUUUCCAUCAAACCUGCCCUGUAUUAGAUGAAUGUUUGUGAUUGGCCUGACACAAACAGGGCUGUGUGGAAAUGUGCAGACGGAUGCCUUCUGCACGAGCUAAAGAAACAUGAGCUCUCUUAUUCAUUUGGUUCCCAGGCUAUAUUUAUUAUCCCCCCCCCCCCCCCCCCCCACCUUUUUUUUUAAAUAAACAGUAUAAGAUAUUGUUUUUGGUUGUGUGCGAAUUUUUGUACAGAAAUAAGUUUCCUGCCUAAAGAAAAAUUGUGUUUGGUUUCUCAGAUUGGCUCAAGUUCAGCUCACCAAAAGCCGGAAGCGAUUUAAUAAGGCACACACUAAAUGGGAGUGGUGAGUGACUGGAUCUGUUAUGGCAGUGCCAUUUAGAAGAAACCUCUCCUCGCUGCAGCCGUGUUGGUAAUAUCAGAUAGAAAAAUAAAUAAAUAAAAGCUCCUUAAAUGCAUGGUGACUUUUCUUUCCCCUGAAAGUUUUACUUCUAUCUUUGCUGUUGUGAAAUCCUCCUGUAAAUUCAGGCUGCCAUGUCUGCUCCUUAUGUCUCUUUUAAGCCUUUUGUGGAUCCGGAUGUUCUCUUUAUUGAGGAAUCCACAAACAAAGCUGAGCAACCUGUUUAUUUAAAAAGGCCCAUGCUGUGUGUGAAAUGUGUGCAACUUUGUCUUUGUGUCUCUUGCUAAAUGUUCGUGAUUGUUAUUUAAACACUCCCUCUCCUCUUCCUCUGUUCACCACAGGGCAGACAGAUAGACAACCACACACUUUCACAACUUACUUAAAGACUAAUUUAUUAUUUUGUUUUGUUUUUUUCAUUUCCAAUACCCAGUUUCCUGGGAAAAUAUUAUAUUUUCAACUGUGAAUCACCAGAUUUGUUGUAUUUCUGUUCUGUGUACCAACACUGUUUGUUAUUCAUUUGUUACUCCUCUGUUCUCUGUUUUCUUGUCUCCCAUCUCUAAUCUGUUGCUCUAACAUUUUUGUUCACUGCAUCUUUCAUUUCUCUCAAACACACACGUAUCUAUCCUUUCCAUUCCAGGUUAUUGGCUGUACUUGUCCUGCUGAUUUAACUAUAGUAAAACUCUGUUAUCUGUAAAUCUGGUGGGAUUUUGUCUUUCACUGCAUGUUGAAAAGGGGAUUUUAAAGGUUGACAUCUCAAUAUAAGCUGGACAUGUCUGACAGCCUGGUCGUACUUCUUUUCCUCAAAUUUGACUGAGAGGCAGGCUGGAUCACUUUGAGCGGCAGGAGAAGGAGAAGGGGAGGCAUCAAGCCAGUGAGAGAGUGGUGACCUUCUGUCACAGAGCUGAGGCCCGAUAAUCUCACAUCAAAGUCUCAGCUCAGACUUGACUGCAAUGGGCCCUAACUCCCUGAGUCUGUAUAAAAGAAACGUCUUCAAUUAGAAGACAUAGCGCUUUCUUUUCAGAUGAAACUUUUGAAAUGGAGCUAGUGCACCGAGCCAGUCGAGACAUAGUCGUCUAAGCUCAUUACAGCCACCUGGGGAGUUGGAGCUUUGGGCAAAAUUAAGUUUAUUCAGAUAUACCCUGGUGUAUGUGGAUAAACUUUUAUCUUGAUGACACAUAAAAGUUUGUGCAACCAUAAACUUCCUUUUUGAGUCUGCCCAUGCUUCAGACACAGCAGGAUAAGAUUGCAUCAGAACUGGCCAUAAAGAAAAACCCCCACAAAAAACAGGUUUUGCAGGCUUUAGCUGACAUCAGUGACCUUUAAAUGCUUGCUUUUUGCCAGUGCAGGAAGCGUUCGGGUCAUUUAAAGCACUGUAACGCAUUGCAAGUGAGGCAGUGCAUUGAAAGUAUUCUGCAAAGUCAUAAUACUCUGCGUGAAUAGCAGCUCCUAUACAUAUUCUGUAUUUAUUGGAUUCAUAUUUAUGAUUAUUUUCAAAUUGUUAUUGAACUAUCUGCCAU
This is a long non-coding RNA of Astatotilapia calliptera (eastern happy), 6364 nucleotides long. The record is from Ensembl. Lineage: Eukaryota; Metazoa; Chordata; Actinopteri; Cichliformes; Cichlidae.